UCUUCCGUAGUAUAGUGGUCAGUAUGUGAGCUUGUCAUGAUCGACUCCGCUCGAGACCCGGGUUCAAUUCCCGGCGGGAGAG
Molecule: transfer RNA, 82 nt
Filed under: Dichotomopilus funicola
Lineage: Eukaryota; Fungi; Ascomycota; Sordariomycetes; Sordariales; Chaetomiaceae
Also listed under: 1 other name
Description: tRNA-Asp
Rfam family: tRNA
About the family: Transfer RNA (tRNA) molecules are approximately 80 nucleotides in length. Their secondary structure includes four short double-helical elements and three loops (D, anti-codon, and T loops). Further hydrogen bonds mediate the characteristic L-shaped molecular structure. tRNAs have two regions of fundamental functional importance: the anti-codon, which is responsible for specific mRNA codon recognition, and the 3' end, to which the tRNAs corresponding amino acid is attached (by aminoacyl-tRNA synthetases). tRNAs cope with the degeneracy of the genetic code in two manners: having more than one tRNA (with a specific anti-codon) for a particular amino acid; and 'wobble' base-pairing, i.e. permitting non-standard base-pairing at the 3rd anti-codon position.
Source: RNAcentral